AUGGGAAUUUCUUCACAAACUUCUUUUGAUGCAAUCACUUUGAAAGAAGCUCUUCAAGGAAGUAACAAUUCAUCAUACUUGUGGAGCAAGGUAUUGGAUGGACAAGCCAAGAAAAAGGUGAAGAGGUCAAGAAGAAUCUCCAUGAAGAGAAGGGUUGGUUGUAGAAGAGGCUCCUAUGGAAUUCAGAGACGUGUGAGAACAUUGAAGAGACUUAUACCAAAUAGUGAUGAGUCUAUUGGGUUGGAAGGACUUUUUAGAGAGACAGCUAAUUAUAUAUUGUCUUUAGAAAAUAGAGUGAGAGUUAUGAAGGUUAUGGUUGAGGUAUUGAAUGGAUCUGAUGAGUGA
Vicia faba (fava bean) is the source of this 345-nucleotide non-coding RNA. NCBI's taxonomy places the organism in Eukaryota, Viridiplantae, Streptophyta, Magnoliopsida, Fabales, Fabaceae. The record is from the annotation of a GenBank genome assembly.